RNAcentral lists this non-coding RNA (150 nucleotides) under Homo sapiens (human). Lineage: Eukaryota; Metazoa; Chordata; Mammalia; Primates; Hominidae. The record is from Rfam by way of RNAcentral.
GCUGGGUGUGGUGGCGCACGCCUGUAGUCCCAGCUACUGGGGAAGCUGAGGUAGGAGGAUCACCUGAGCUCAGGGAAGUUGAGGCUGCAGUGAGCCAUGAUCACAGCAACUGCACUCCAGCCUGAGGGACAGGGCAAUAUCCUGUCUCAA